RNAcentral lists this transfer RNA (73 nucleotides) under Promethearchaeota archaeon. Its description in RNAcentral is "Candidatus Lokiarchaeota archaeon tRNA-Arg". It matches the Rfam family "tRNA". From Rfam's summary of the family: Transfer RNA (tRNA) molecules are approximately 80 nucleotides in length. Their secondary structure includes four short double-helical elements and three loops (D, anti-codon, and T loops). The record is from RNAcentral. Lineage: Archaea; Promethearchaeati; Promethearchaeota.
ACACCCGUGGUCUAAUAGAGAGGACACUCGCCUUCGAAGCGAGGGGAUGUAGGUUCGAAUCCUACCGGGUGUA